AUGUCACGGACAAGAAUUAACGUUGUUGAAUCUAAUGAAGAAUAUAUGAUGGAAGAACAGAUCGAACAUCAUAAUUCUGCUGCAAAAGAUGUCGAAUCAUCCGAUGUCCAUGAAAGAACUACUAAUGAUGAAGAAGGCUUCACAGAUUGUGAUGACGCUAGAGUGGAUGAAAACGAAGAUGAUCAGCCAAUUGGAAAAGAGGCUAAACAUCUUGGGGAUUUUCUUGGCUCAGUUGCAAGGAAUGGAUCAUUGUGUUGCUUGAGCUACAAGGACUGGAGAAUGCUAAAAACUAAAACAAAUGUAAAGGCUAUACUAGAUCAAGUGAAGAUGAGGUUCCUUUACCCUCCUCACAUGGAAAAAUAUAUAUUGAAGGUAAUUGGAGAUAGAUGGAGGCAACAUAAGUCCGAUCUGAAAGCAAUGUAUUUUGAAGAGAAAAAAGCACCGAAGCCAAUUACAAUAAUAAACCAAAAUCCGUGA
RNAcentral lists this ribosomal RNA (477 nucleotides) under Triticum aestivum (bread wheat). Its description in RNAcentral is "partial small subunit ribosomal RNA". Lineage: Eukaryota; Viridiplantae; Streptophyta; Magnoliopsida; Poales; Poaceae. The record is from RNAcentral.